RNAcentral lists this ribosomal RNA (1372 nucleotides) under uncultured bacterium. Its description in RNAcentral is "bacterial SSU rRNA". It matches the Rfam family "Bacterial small subunit ribosomal RNA", at positions 28 to 1381 of the family's 1533-position model. The record is from RNAcentral.
GAUGAACGCUGGCGGCGUGCCUAAUACAUGCAAGUCGAGCGAACGGACGAGAAGCUUGCUUCUCUGAUGUUAGCGGCGGACGGGUGAGCAACACGUGGAUAACCUACCUAUAAGACUGGGAUAACUUCGGGAAACCGGAGCUAAUACCGGAUAAUAUUUUGAACCGCAUGGUUCAAAAGUGAAAGACGGUCUUGCUGUCACUUAUAGAUGGAUCCGCGCUGCAUUAGCUAGUUGGUAAGGUAACGGCUUACCAAGGCAACGAUGCAUAGCCGACCUGAGAGGGUGAUCGGCCACACUGGAACUGAGACACGGUCCAGACUCCUACGGGAGGCAGCAGUAGGGAAUCUUCCGCAAUAGGCGAAAGCCUGACGGAGCAACGCCGCGUGAGUGAUGAAGGUCUUCGGAUCGUAAAACUCUGUUAUUAGGGAAGAACAUAUGUGUAAGUAACUGUGCACAUCUUGACGGUACCUAAUCAGAAAGCCACGGCCAACUACGUGCCAGCAGCCGCGGUAAUACGUAGGUGGCAAGCGUUAUCCGGAAUUAUUGGGCGUAAAGCGCGCGUAGGCGGUUUUUUAAGUCUGAUGUGAAAGCCCACGGCUCAACCGUGGAGGGUCAUUGGAAACUGGAAAACUUGAGUGCAGAAGAGGAAAGUGGAAUUCCAUGUGUAGCGGUGAAAUGCGCAGAGAUAUGGAGGAACACCAGUGGCGAAGGCGACUUUCUGGUCUGUAACUGACGCUGAUGUGCGAAAGCGUGGGGAUCAAACAGGAUUAGAUACCCUGGUAGUCCACGCCGUAAACGAUGAGUGCUAAGUGUUAGGGGGUUUCCGCCCCUUAGUGCUGCAGCUAACGCAUUAAGCACUCCGCCUGGGGAGUACGACCGCAAGGUUGAAACUCAAAGGAAUUGACGGGGACCCGCACAAGCGGUGGAGCAUGUGGUUUAAUUCGAAGCAACGCGAAGAACCUUACCAAAUCUUGACAUCCUUUGACAACUCUAGAGAUAGAGCCUUCCCCUUCGGGGGACAAAGUGACAGGUGGUGCAUGGUUGUCGUCAGCUCGUGUCGUGAGAUGUUGGGUUAAGUCCCGCAACGAGCGCAACCCUUAAGCUUAGUUGCCAUCAUUAAGGUGGGCACUCUAAGUUGACUGCCGGUGACAAACCGGAGGAAGGUGGGGAUGACGUCAAAUCAUCAUGCCCCUUAUGAUUUGGGCUACACACGUGCUACAAUGGACAAUACAAAGGGCAGCGAAACCGCGAGGUCAAGCAAAUCCCAUAAAGUUGUUCUCAGUUCGGAUUGUAGUCUGCAACUCGACUACACGAAGCUGGAAUCGCUAGUAAUCGUAGAUCAGCAUGCUACGGUGAAUACGUUCCCGGCUCU